AUUGCAGAACACAUUGAACAUCGACAUCUUGAACGCACAUGGCGGCCUCGGGUUGAUCCCGGGGCCACGCCCGUCUGAGGGUCGGUU
Molecule: ribosomal RNA, 87 nt
Filed under: Acanthodoris pilosa
Lineage: Eukaryota; Metazoa; Mollusca; Gastropoda; Nudibranchia; Onchidorididae
Description: partial 5.8S ribosomal RNA
Rfam family: 5.8S ribosomal RNA
About the family: 5.8S ribosomal RNA (5.8S rRNA) is a component of the large subunit of the eukaryotic ribosome.
Source: RNAcentral